GGAAUAUUGCACAAUGGGCGCAAGCCUGAUGCAGCGACGCCGCGUGAGCGAAGAAGUAUUUCGGUAUGUAAAGCUCUAUCAGCAGGGAAGAAAAUGACGGUACCUGACUAAGAAGCUCCGGCUAAAUACGUGCCAGCAGCCGCGGUAAUACGUAUGGAGCAAGCGUUAUCCGGAAUUACUGGGUGUAAAGGGAGCGUAGACGGUGAGACAAGUCUGAAGUGAAAGCCCGGGGCUCAACCCCGGGACUGCUUUGGAAACUGCCUGACUGGAGUGCUGGAGAGGCAAGCGGAAUUCCUAGUGUAGCGGUGAAAUGCGUAGAUAUUAGGAAGAACACCAGUGGCGAAGGCGGCUUGCUGGACAGUAACUGACGUUGAGGCUCGAAAGCGUGGGGAGCAAACAG
RNAcentral lists this ribosomal RNA (400 nucleotides) under uncultured bacterium. RNAcentral's name for it is "bacterial SSU rRNA". It matches the Rfam family "Bacterial small subunit ribosomal RNA", at positions 358 to 775 of the family's 1533-position model. The record is from RNAcentral.